GUGCUUGCUUCGGCCGCAUGUAUGCUAAAAUUGGAAUGAUAGAGAUUAGCAUGCCCCCUGCACAAGGAUGGCAUGUAAAUUUGUGAAGCAUUCCAUAUUUUU
This 102-nucleotide small nuclear RNA is filed under the name Pteropus vampyrus (large flying fox). Lineage: Eukaryota; Metazoa; Chordata; Mammalia; Chiroptera; Pteropodidae. The record is from RNAcentral.